AACUUAGCAGAGAUGCUUUGGUGCCUUCGGGAACUCUGAGACAGGUGCUGCAUGGCUGUCGUCAGCUCGUGUUGUGAAAUGUUGGGUUAAGUCCCGCAACGAGCGCAACCCUUAUCCUUUGUUGCCAGCGGCUCGGCCGGGAACUCAAAGGAGACUGCCGGUGAUAAACCGGAGGAAGGUGGGGAUGACGUCAAGUCAUCAUGGCCCUUACGGCCAGGGCUACACACGUGCUACAAUGGCGCAUACAAAGAGAAGUGACCUCGCGAGAGCAAGCGGACCUCACAAAGUGCGUCGUAGUCCGGAUUGGAGUCUGCAACUCGACUCCAUGAAGUCGGAAUCGCUAGUAAUCGUAGAUCAGAAUGCUACGGUGAAUACGUUCCCGGGCCUUGUACACACCGCCCGUCACACCAUGGGAGUGGGUUGCAAAAGAAGUAGGUAGCUUAACCUUCGGGAGGGCGCUUACCACUUUGUGAUUCAUGACUGGGGUGAAGUCGUAACAAGGUAAGCGUAGCGAG
Molecule: ribosomal RNA, 515 nt
Filed under: uncultured bacterium
Lineage: Bacteria
Description: bacterial SSU rRNA
Rfam family: Bacterial small subunit ribosomal RNA
Source: RNAcentral